CAGGCCUAACACAUGCAAGUCGAGCGGAAACGAGUUAUCUGAACCUUCGGGGGACGAUAACGGCGUCGAGCGGCGGACGGGUGAGUAAUGCCUAGGAAAUUGCCCUGAUGUGGGGGAUAACCAUUGGAAACGAUGGCUAAUACCGCAUGAUGCCUACGGGCCAAAGAGGGGGACCUUCGGGCCUCUCGCGUCAGGAUGUGCCUAGGUGGGAUUAGCUAGUUGGUGAGGUAAGGGCUCACCAAGGCGACGAUCCCUAGCUGGUCUGAGAGGAUGAUCAGCCACACUGGAACUGAGACACGGUCCAGACUCCUACGGGAGGCAGCAGUGGGGAAUAUUGCACAAUGGGCGCAAGCCUGAUGCAGCCAUGCCGCGUGUAUGAAGAAGGCCUUCGGGUUGUAAAGUACUUUCAGCAGUGAGGAAGGUGGGUGUGUUAAUAGCACAUUCAUUUGACGUUAGCUGCAGAAGAAGCACCGGCUAACUCCGUGCCAGCAGCCGCGGUAAUACGGAGGGUGCGAGCGUUAAUCGGAAUUACUGGGCGUAAAGCGCAUGCAGGUGGUUUGUUAAGUCAGAUGUGAAAGCCCGGGGCUCAACCUCGGAAUAGCAUUUGAAACUGGCAGACUAGAGUACUGUAGAGGGGGGUAGAAUUUCA
Molecule: ribosomal RNA, 649 nt
Filed under: uncultured bacterium
Lineage: Bacteria
Description: bacterial SSU rRNA
Rfam family: Bacterial small subunit ribosomal RNA
Source: RNAcentral